GGCCAGCGUUGCUCGGAAUUACUGGGCGUAAAGGGUUCGUAGGUGGUGCGGCAAGUUGGAAGUGAAAUCUCUGGGCUUAACCCAGAGGCUGCUUUCAAAACUGCCGUGCUCGAGUGCGAGAGAGGCCAGUGGAAUUGCAGGUGUAGCGGUGAAAUGCGUAGAUAUCUGCAGGAACACCCGUGGCGAAGGCGGCUGGCUGGAUCGCAACUGACACUGUGGAACGAAAGCUAGGGGAGCAAACAGGAUUAGAUACCCUGGUAGUCCUAGCCCUAAACCAUCGGAACUUGGGGUGGCCCGCGUAGGCGGGUCGUCCCGUAGCUAACGCGUUAAGUUCCGCGCCUGGGGAGUACGGUCGCAAGACUGAGACUCAAAGGAAUUGACGGGGGCCCGCACAAGCGGUGGAACAUGUGGUUCAAUUCGACGCAACGCGAAGAACCUUACCUGGGCUUGAACCGCUACUGACCAACGGUAGAAAUAUCGUCUUCCCGCAAGGGACAGUAGUAGAGGUGCUGCAUGGCUGUCGUCAGCUCGUGCCGUGAGGUGUUGGGUUAAGUCCCGCAACGAGCGCAACCCUUACUCGUAGUUGCUACCCGCAAGGGAGAACUCUACGAGGACUGCUCCGGAUAACGGAGAGGAAGGUGGGGAUGACGUCAAGUCAGCACGGCCUUUAUGUCCAGGGCUACACACGUGUUACAAUGCACGGUACAGACUGUUGCGAACCCGCGAGGGGGAGCUAAUCGGCCAAAACCGUGCUCAGUUCGGAUUGCAGUCUGCAACUCGACUGCAUGAAGCUGGAAUCGCUAGUAAUGGCGCAUCAGAUCGGCGCCGUGAAUACGUUCC
Molecule: ribosomal RNA, 840 nt
Filed under: uncultured Acidobacteriota bacterium
Lineage: Bacteria; Pseudomonadati; Acidobacteriota
Description: bacterial SSU rRNA
Rfam family: Bacterial small subunit ribosomal RNA
Source: RNAcentral